GGUAGACGCUACGGACUUAAAAUCCGUUGAUCUUAAACGGUCGUGUGGGUUC
Molecule: transfer RNA, 52 nt
Filed under: Nostoc sp. 'Protopannaria pezizoides cyanobiont'
Lineage: Bacteria; Bacillati; Cyanobacteriota; Cyanophyceae; Nostocales; Nostocaceae
Description: partial tRNA-Leu
Source: RNAcentral